This 493-nucleotide ribosomal RNA is filed under the name uncultured bacterium. Its description in RNAcentral is "bacterial SSU rRNA". It matches the Rfam family "Bacterial small subunit ribosomal RNA", at positions 899 to 1397 of the family's 1533-position model. The record is from RNAcentral.
ACUCAAAUGAAUAGACGGGGGCCCGCACAAGCAGUGGAGUAUGUGGUUUAAUUCGAAGCAACGCGAAGAACCUUACCAGGGCUUGACAUGGGGACGACUGCGCUGGAGACAGCGCUUUCUUUCGGGACGUCCCACACAGGUGGUGCAUGGUUGUCGUCAGCUCGUGUCGUGAGAUGUUGGGUUAAGUCCCGCAACGAGCGCAACCCUUACGGUUAGUUGCUACGCAAGAGCACUCUAGCCGGACUGCCGUUGACAAAACGGAGGAAGGCGGGGACGACGUCAAAUCAUCAUGCCCCUUAUGUCCUGGGCUACACACGUACUACAAUGGCGGUCAUACAGAGGGAAGCAAGACAGCGAUGUGGAGCAAAUCCCUAAAAGCCGCCCCAGUUCGGAUUGCAGGCUGAAACCCGCCUGCAUGAAGUCGGAAUUGCUAGUAAUCGCGGAUCAGCAUGCCGCGGUGAAUACGUUCCCGGGCCUUGUACACACCGCCCGU